AUCGAUGAAGAACGCAGCGAAAUGCGAUAAGUAAUGUGAAUUGCAGAAUUCAGUGAAUCAUCGAAUCUUUGAACGCACAUUGCGCCCGCUGGUACUCUUGCGGGCAUGCCUGUUCGAGCGUCAUUUCAACCCUCAAGCCCGGCUUGGUGUUGGGGCCCUACGGCUGCCGUAGGCCCUGAAAGGAAGUGGCGGGCUCGCUACAACUCCGAGCGUAGUAAUUCGUUUUCUCGCUAUGGACGUUGCGGCGGUGCUCCUGCCGUUAAAGACCCAUAUUUAACCAAAGGUUGACCUCGGAUCAGGUAGGAAUACCCGCUGAACUUAAGCAUAUCAAUAAGCGGAGGAAAAGAAACCAACAGGGAUUGCCCUAGUAACGGCGAGUGAAGCGGCAACAGCUCAAAUUUGAAAUCUGGCUCCGGCCCGAGUUGUAAUUUGUAGAGGAUGCUUUUGGCAAGGUGCCUUCCGAGUUCCCUGGAACGGGACGCCAGAGAGGGUGAGAGCCCCGUAUAGUCGGACACCUAGCCUUUGUAAAGCUCCUUCGACGAGUCGAGUAGUUUGGGAAUGCUGCUCAAAAUGGGAGGUAUAUCUCUUCUAAAGCUAAAUAUAGGCCAGAGACCGAUAGCGCACAAGUAGAGUGAUCGAAAGAUGAAAAGCACUUUGAAAAGAGGGUUAAAUAGCACGUGAAAUUGUUGAAAGGGAAGCGCUUAUGACCAGACUUGUGCCGGGCUGAUCAUCCAGUGUUCUCACUGGUGCACUCGACCCGGCUCAGGCCAGCGUCGGUUACCGUAGGGGGAUAAAAGCUCCGGGAACGUGGCUCCUUCGGGAGUGUUAUAGCCCGCCGCUUAAUACCCUUGUGGUGACCGAGGUUCGCGCUCUGCAAGGACGCUGGCAUAAUGGUCAUCAGCGACCCGUCUUGAAACACGG
Molecule: ribosomal RNA, 921 nt
Filed under: uncultured Ascomycota
Lineage: Eukaryota; Fungi; Ascomycota
Description: eukaryotic LSU rRNA
Rfam family: Eukaryotic large subunit ribosomal RNA (bases 286-921)
Source: RNAcentral